This 443-nucleotide ribosomal RNA is filed under the name uncultured bacterium. Its description in RNAcentral is "partial 16S ribosomal RNA". It matches the Rfam family "Bacterial small subunit ribosomal RNA", at positions 338 to 795 of the family's 1533-position model. The record is from RNAcentral.
CCUACGGGAGGCAGCAGUGGGGAAUAUUGGGCAAUGGAGGCAACUCUGACCCAGCAACGCCGCGUGAAUGAUGAAGGUCUUCGGAUUGUAAAGUUCUUUUCUAAGGGAAGAAGAAAGUGACGGUACCUUAGGAAUAAGCCUCGGCUAACUACGUGCCAGCAGCCGCGGUAAUACGUAGGAGGCAAGCGUUAUCCGGAAUGACUGGGCGUAAAGGGUGCGUAGGUGGUUUGACAAGUUAGUAGCGCAACUCCGGGGCUCAACUUCGGAACUACUACUAAAACUGUUGGACUUGAGUGCAGGAGAGGGGAGCAGAAUUCCAGGGGGAGCGGUGGAAUGCGUAGAGAUUAGGAGGAACACCAGUGGCGAAGGCGGAUGCCUAGACAAAAACUGAAACUGAGGAACGAAAGCGUGGGGAGCAAACAGGAUUAGAUACCCCUGUAGUC